GCUCCUAUAGUUAAGUGGUAUAACUUCGCCUUUGUAACGCGAGUUCCUCAGUUCGAUUCUGGGUGGGAGCACCA
RNAcentral lists this transfer RNA (74 nucleotides) under Rhizobium phage RHph_TM61. Its description in RNAcentral is "tRNA-Thr". It matches the Rfam family "tRNA". Rfam says of the family: Transfer RNA (tRNA) molecules are approximately 80 nucleotides in length. Their secondary structure includes four short double-helical elements and three loops (D, anti-codon, and T loops). The record is from RNAcentral. RNAcentral also lists the same sequence under 3 other names. Lineage: Duplodnaviria; Heunggongvirae; Uroviricota; Caudoviricetes; Kleczkowskaviridae.